This 501-nucleotide ribosomal RNA is filed under the name uncultured bacterium. RNAcentral describes it as "partial 16S ribosomal RNA". It matches the Rfam family "Bacterial small subunit ribosomal RNA", at positions 30 to 523 of the family's 1533-position model. The record is from RNAcentral.
AUUGAACGCUGGCGGCAGGCUUAACACAUGCAAGUCGAGCGGGGUGAUGGUGCUUGCACUAUCACUUAGCGGCGGACGGGUGAGUAAUGCUUAGGAAUCUGCCUAUUAGUGGGGGACAACAUCUCGAAAGGGAUGCUAAUACCGCAUACGUCCUACGGGAGAAAGCAGGGGAUCACUUGUGACCUUGCGCUAAUAGAUGAGCCUAAGUCGGAUUAGCUAGUUGGUGGGGUAAAGGCCACCAAGGCGACGAUCUGUAGCGGGUCUGAGAGGAUGAUCCGCCACACUGGGACUGAGACACGGCCAGACUCCUACGGGAGGCAGCAGUGGGGAAUAUUGGACAAUGGGGGGAACCCUGAUCCAGCCAUGCCGCGUGUGUGAAGAAGGCCUUAUGGUUGUAAAGCACUUUAAGCGAGGAGGAGGCUCUUUUGGUUAAUACCCAAGAUGAGUGGACGUUACUCGCAGAAUAAGCACCGGCUAACUCUGUGCCAGCCGCCGCAGUAA